Molecule: long non-coding RNA, 610 nt
Organism: Dama dama (fallow deer)
Lineage: Eukaryota; Metazoa; Chordata; Mammalia; Artiodactyla; Cervidae
Exons: 3
Source: RefSeq, a predicted model, not a curated record
CCAGUGGCUCUGCGCGCCCGAGUCCGCGGCGGAGACUGGGCGGCCGCGGGGACUGCCGCGGGCUCGGCUCCGGGGCUCAACACUGCCACUGUCUGACACAACAGCAGCAGUGUCGCGGGAGCUGCGCGGCCGAGGCGCGAGAUGUGAUAGGCUCUGAAAACUGGACAUUGGACCGCUGAUGAGGGAAAGACAACCAGAGAGACGACGCUGGCGUGCGGUUCUCUAUUCAGGGUGGUGAAAAGGAGGAGGAAUGUCUUCAAUUCAUACAAAAUGUGAAAGGAUGCAGUGAAGUACAGCAACGGAGACUAUUCUGGGAGGACCCAGCAACUCCUAUCCUGGCCCAUUUCCCUGGAUCCGUUUCAGUUCGAUCCUGAAUAGAUCACUGCCCUCUGACCCAAGUGUUCUGACCGACGUGCUUUUUUUCAGAGAAACGUUCCGACCGGCCAGAAACGUUUCCUCUGUUACUCAUCACAGCGAAAACUCUGUUAGAGCAAUGUUUCAGUAGGUCUUCUGUUACCCAUAUACCGGAGUAUUGUUAUUAGUGGGAAGGUAAUACUUAAUUAGGGAAAAAAAAAAAAUCAGCAGGGCAUAUGAACUGAUGAUAGAAAUA